UCCACCAGGCUGCUGGGGGAAGGGCGCGGCGGGGAGCGCGGGGGCGAGGCCUGGUGGGGGCUGGGGACCCCGCGAAAGUUUCUUCCCAGCCUUGUUUUGGAGAUCGCUAGUGGGGGCUUCAACCCCGAAGGUGGAAAGCCAGCCCUGGAGUGAGGACGUGACACCCCGCCCUCCCCCCACAGAUGGCAGAAAGACACUUGAUAAACUCCCAUGAGCCAGUAUAUGCCAGAUGGAAGCACAGCUGGAGCUAUAGGUGGGAGCAAAGGAUUGGGCUUCCAGCCACCUACCUCUGUUUUCCUGAAAAUCCACUGGAAGUCAGCCCCUGCUAGCAGAAAGCCUCAUGAUCCAAACCACUGACGACUUAUGAAGUCCUCUCGGCUGGGGUUUAGAUCACUCAGGGCUUUCACUUGUGUCUUCAUGUGGCUUACUGAAGAUGACACAUUAACGAACUCAUCAGAGGCUGCUUUUCUGAGAUGCACGAAGAGGAACUGGACUCUCUUCCAACUCUGGGGGACCUGGGACCUGCCUGGAGCCUGGAGCCUGGAACCCUGCGGAACAUGAGAGGCACAAAGCGCAGCCUCCUGCCUCCUGCUAAUGGUGACAGGCAGGAAGGUUAGGAAGCUGAGAUCUACAAUCAGCUCUAAUGCUAAUUUGCUACUUAACAUGUGCCAGAUACAUGCUGCUGCCACCAUCACUCCCUAAUUGGAAAAAAAAAAAGACACACAUUCUUUUCUAUUAUACAGACGAC
Molecule: long non-coding RNA, 748 nt
Organism: Miniopterus natalensis
Lineage: Eukaryota; Metazoa; Chordata; Mammalia; Chiroptera; Miniopteridae
Source: RefSeq, a predicted model, not a curated record